This 461-nucleotide ribosomal RNA is filed under the name Porphyromonas endodontalis. Its description in RNAcentral is "bacterial SSU rRNA". It matches the Rfam family "Bacterial small subunit ribosomal RNA", at positions 28 to 477 of the family's 1533-position model. The record is from RNAcentral. Lineage: Bacteria; Pseudomonadati; Bacteroidota; Bacteroidia; Bacteroidales; Porphyromonadaceae.
GAUGAACGCUAGCGAUAGGCUUAACACAUGCAAGUCGAGGGGCAGCAUUAUUUUAGCUUGCUAAGAUAGAUGGCGACCGGCGCACGGGUGCGUAACGCGUAUGCAACCUGCCUGUAAUUAGGGAAUAACCCGGUGAAAGUCGGACUAAUACCCUAUAUUCUUCUUUCUCCGCAUGGGGGAGGAUGGAAAGAUUUAUUGAUUACAGAUGGGCAUGCGUCCCAUUAGCUCGUUGGUAAGGUAACGGCUUACCAAGGCAACGAUGGGUAGGGGGACUGAGAGGUUGACCCCCCACACUGGUACUGAGACACGGACCAGACUCCUACGGGAGGCAGCAGUGAGGAAUAUUGGUCAAUGGGCGAGAGCCUGAACCAGCCAAGUCGCGUGAAGGACGACGGUUCUAUGGAUUGCAAACUUCUUUUGUAGAGGAAUAAUGGCAGCUACGUGUAGCUGAGAUGCAUGUA